ACGGGAGGCAGCAGUGGGGAAUAUUGGACAAUGGGGGAAACCCUGAUCCAGCGACGCCGCGUGAGUGAAGAAGUAUUUCGGUAUGUAAAGCUCUAUCAGCAGGGAAGAAAAUGACGGUACCUGACUAAGAAGCCCCGGCUAACUACGUGCCAGCAGCCGCGGUAAUACGUAGGGGGCAAGCGUUAUCCGGAUUUACUGGGUGUAAAGGGAGCGCAGACGGCUUUGCAAGUCUGAUGUGAAAGGCAGGGGCUCAACUCCUGGACUGCAUUGGAAACUGUAGGGCUAGAGUGUCGGAGAGGUAAGCGGAAUUCCUAGUGUAGCGGUGAAAUGCGUAGAUAUUAGGAGGAACACCAGUGGCGAAGGCGGCUUACUGGACGAUAACUGACGUUGAGGCUCGAAAGCGUGGGGAGCAAACAGGAUUAGAUACCCUGGUA
Molecule: ribosomal RNA, 434 nt
Filed under: uncultured Clostridiales Family XIV bacterium
Lineage: Bacteria; Bacillati; Bacillota; Clostridia; Eubacteriales; Clostridiales Family XIV. Incertae Sedis
Description: bacterial SSU rRNA
Rfam family: Bacterial small subunit ribosomal RNA
Source: RNAcentral